GAAACUUAAAGGAAUUGACGGGGCCCGCACAAGCGGUGGAGCAUGUGGUUAAUUCGACGCAACGCGAAGAACCUUACCAGGCUUGACAUCCCCUGACCGCGUAUGAAAGUACGUUUUCACCCUCGGGUGACAGGGAGACAGGUGGUGCAUGGUUGUCGUCAGCUCGUGUCGUGAGAUGUUGGGUUAAGUCCCGCAACGAGCGCAACCCCUACGUUUAGUUGCUAACGCGUGAAGGCGAGCACUCUAGACGAACUGCCGUUGACAAAACGGAGGAAGGUGGGAUGACGUCAAAUCAUCAUGCCCCUUAUGUUCUGGGCUACACACGUGCUACAAUGGCCGGUACAGACGGACGCAAAGCCGCGAGGUGGAGCAAAUCCUAAAAAGCCGGUCUCAGUUCGGAUUGCAGGCUGCAAUUCGCCUGCAUGAAGUCGGAAUCGCUAGUAAUCGCAGGUCAGCAUACUCGCGGUCCGAAUACGUUCCGGGCCUU
RNAcentral lists this ribosomal RNA (487 nucleotides) under uncultured Pelotomaculum sp. Its description in RNAcentral is "bacterial SSU rRNA". It matches the Rfam family "Bacterial small subunit ribosomal RNA", at positions 896 to 1382 of the family's 1533-position model. The record is from RNAcentral. Lineage: Bacteria; Bacillati; Bacillota; Clostridia; Eubacteriales; Desulfotomaculaceae.